CCUGUCCGGCUGAAGUUGGUGAGCUCCCAUUAGCUCAGGUAGACUAUUUCAGUGGGUUUCUGUGGGGUAUUUUCUUGGUUAAUGUGAGAGGACCCCAAUCGACAAUGGAUGGUACCACCCCUGGGCACAUGGUCCUGAGUUAGCUAAAAAAGCAAGCUGGGUGAGCCACAAAGAGCAAGCCAGGAAGCAGUGUUCCUCUGUGGGCACUGCUUCGGUCCCUGCCUCCAGAUACCUGCCUUGAGUUCUUGCCCUGACCUCUCUUAACAAUUGCCUGUGAUGAGGAAGUGUAAGUCAAAUAAACCCUUUCCUCCCUCAAGCUGCUUUUAGUCAUGAUGCUUGUUACCGUUCAGAUGGAAUAUCUUUCCAUGGCCUCAGAACAUCCCCAAAGGGUAUGUGUGUACCUUGCAUGUACUGACGACUAAUUGUUAGAAAGAGAAUUUUUCAGCCCUCCCUUUUAAUGCUUAACAUAACCCUGCUGACAUUACCAUGUGUCAGGCUGCUCACUGGGUCCUUGGGGUGAUGAAAGGUGUGGCUUCCACUAGAAAAGGGAGCUCAGAUGUGAUCCUCUUCUCUCUAAGGAACAAGAGUAAUAGCUCCCUUGUCAUGAGUUAUGGUCAUCAAUGCCACAAAAAUGCUACACUUUUCUCUGUGUUUGUCCCAUGCAGGUGUUCAUGCUGUGACUGCAUCAGCGUUCCCCGGGAAGUGUUCUGAUCCUCCAGAUGCUAGAGAAAUGAUCCUUGUGCAAGCCGCUGUUUCCACACAUUCAAACCCUGUGGACCCCACCGGCCUCCCAGAGGCGUUUGCAUUUCCAGUCUCCCUGGGUCCCUCCGUCCCAGAAGCUUUAGCUGUCUCAGGAGCUUUG
This is a non-coding RNA of Myodes glareolus (Bank vole), 862 nucleotides long. The record is from RefSeq and is a predicted model, not a curated record. Lineage: Eukaryota; Metazoa; Chordata; Mammalia; Rodentia; Cricetidae.